UACGUAGGGCGCAAGCGUUAUCCGGAAUUAUUGGGCGUAAAGAGCUCGUAGGCGGUUUGUCGCGUCUGCCGUGAAAGUCCGGGGCUCAACUCCGGAUCUGCGGUGGGUACGGGCAGACUAGAGUGAUGUAGGGGAGACUGGAAUUCCUGGUGUAGCGGUGAAAUGCGCAGAUAUCAGGAGGAACACCGAUGGCGAAGGCAGGUCUCUGGGCAGAUACUGACGCUGAGACGCGAAAGCAUGGGGAGCAAACAGG
This 253-nucleotide ribosomal RNA is filed under the name uncultured bacterium. RNAcentral describes it as "partial 16S ribosomal RNA". It matches the Rfam family "Bacterial small subunit ribosomal RNA", at positions 524 to 776 of the family's 1533-position model. The record is from RNAcentral.